Molecule: long non-coding RNA, 266 nt
Filed under: Elaeis guineensis (African oil palm)
Lineage: Eukaryota; Viridiplantae; Streptophyta; Magnoliopsida; Arecales; Arecaceae
Description: long non-coding RNA (EGUI_LNC041976)
Source: RNAcentral
GUGUAGGUCAUUGUAUGCCAUAUGAGUUGGUUGUCCUCAUAACUAAAGAGUGUGGGGAUACUGUUAUAGCAUGCAGAUGGAAUGUGGGAGUACAUUCGCAUCGAACGUGACCAUGUGCCGAGCACUCUGCUGUCAAGAGUAGCUUGUGAAGGGUAUGGAUAUAAAUAUUCCUCUGACCUGAUACCACCAUGGUGACUUGUAAGCAACUCCUAUACUUUAAUGAUGGACUAUUUGAGUUUCUAACUUAGUGAUGGAAGGAUAAUAGG